This 464-nucleotide ribosomal RNA is filed under the name Serratia plymuthica. Its description in RNAcentral is "bacterial SSU rRNA". It matches the Rfam family "Bacterial small subunit ribosomal RNA", at positions 9 to 478 of the family's 1533-position model. Lineage: Bacteria; Pseudomonadati; Pseudomonadota; Gammaproteobacteria; Enterobacterales; Yersiniaceae. The record is from RNAcentral.
GAGUUUGAUCCUGGCUCAGAUUGAACGCUGGCGGCAGGCCUAACACAUGCAAGUCGAGCGGUAGCACAAGAGAGCUUGCUCUCUGGGUGACGAGCGGCGGACGGGUGAGUAAUGUCUGGGAAACUGCCUGAUGGAGGGGGAUAACUACUGGAAACGGUAGCUAAUACCGCAUAACGUCUACGGACCAAAGUGGGGGACCUUCGGGCCUCACGCCAUCAGAUGUGCCCAGAUGGGAUUAGCUAGUAGGUGGGGUAAUGGCUCACCUAGGCGACGAUCCCUAGCUGGUCUGAGAGGAUGACCAGCCACACUGGAACUGAGACACGGUCCAGACUCCUACGGGAGGCAGCAGUGGGGAAUAUUGCACAAUGGGCGCAAGCCUGAUGCAGCCAUGCCGCGUGUGUGAAGAAGGCCUUAGGGUUGUAAAGCACUUUCAGCGAGGAGGAAGGGCACAGUGUUAAUAGCAC